UAAUAAGUGUUUUAUGGCACUUUUUAGAUCCAUAUCCACCUUGUGUGCAAUGUCAGUCGAUCUUCUUCAUGGAGAUCGACCAAACAUCAACCUUUAUCUUUUAACUCUUUGUCUGAAUAAUAUUAUGAAUAAACAAUUCAAAAUA
RNAcentral lists this unclassified non-coding RNA (145 nucleotides) under soil metagenome. RNAcentral describes it as "partial internal transcribed spacer 1". The record is from RNAcentral.